RNAcentral lists this long non-coding RNA (373 nucleotides) under Homo sapiens (human). RNAcentral's name for it is "HSALNT0294846". The record is from RNAcentral. Lineage: Eukaryota; Metazoa; Chordata; Mammalia; Primates; Hominidae.
CCGCAGCCCACUGGGCCGGGUGAACCCCUGAGCCCCGCUGCAGUGUGUCCGCACUAGAGCCAAGCAGGAGAGGGAAAGGCGUCUGCAGUCCGGGUUUGCCCCAACGUGCUGCUCUCAGAGAGGAGGGAACCAGGGCCUGCUUAGAGAUUCAAUAACUUGCCCAAGGAAAUGCUGCUAGUUUUAAAAGCAGAAUUAAAGUGUAAAGUAGAGGGAAAUUUCUCUGAUGCAGCAUUUACAUAAGAAACACAUUCAGAAAAAGAGGCUGUGAUUCUGAACGCGUCCUUAUUAUACUGCACUAAAAAUCUCCCUUGGGAUGAGGGAGGUUUAAAUUAGUUGGAGAGAGAAGGAAAUAAAAUCCUCUUUUUCAAAAUGC